CGGAGUUCAGUCUUCCCAGGCCCACCACUUUCAUCGAGUGAGCAUUCGUCUUCUGGUUACGGGGCCAUAGCUCAGCUGGGAGAGCGCGUGCUUUGCAAGCAUGAGGUCGUCGGUUCGAUCCCGUCUGGCUCCACCAGAUGGUUUGAUCACCGAGAUCUUGACCGUCGUCCGCGAAACAUCACUUCGCAUCCUGCUAGUCUGGAUAGACAGCAGUUUGCGUGUUUUCUGACAUCGUAAAGAGGAGAUCGAUCCGAGUUGGGUCGUGCAGCAUAUCGUUGCGCGAGCCUUCAUUAUCUCCGGAUCAUUUCGGCGCUCGCUUCCAGCCGUGAGGUUGGAUGCGGGUUGUAAAUGAUCCUUUUAGCGAAGCUUGACCGCCUCGCUAUCGGAACGAUCUUACGAAGCAAGCUGGUCUUUCUAGUCAAUGUCCGGCUGCGGAUAGCGUUCAUCGAGGGCGCGUGCCGCAAGGCAAUUCUGCAGACAACAUUCUGCCGAGUGUGUGGACAUUGAUAAUGAGAGCAAUCAAGUGCCUUAAGGGUGUUCGGUGGAUGCCUUGGCGCUGAGAGGCGAUGAAGGACGUGCUACGCUGCGAUAAGCCGUGGGGAGCUGCGAAGAAGCUUUGAUCCGCGGAUUUCCGAUG
RNAcentral lists this unclassified non-coding RNA (637 nucleotides) under Bradyrhizobium sp. RNAcentral's name for it is "partial 16S-23S ribosomal RNA intergenic spacer". The stretch from base 518 to 637 matches the Rfam family "Bacterial large subunit ribosomal RNA", at positions 1 to 119 of the family's 2925-position model. Lineage: Bacteria; Pseudomonadati; Pseudomonadota; Alphaproteobacteria; Hyphomicrobiales; Nitrobacteraceae. RNAcentral also lists the same sequence under 1 other name. The record is from RNAcentral.